GAUGAACGCUGGCGGCGUGCUUAACACAUGCAAGUCGAACGAGAAGUGAAGACGGAAACCUUCGGGCGGAAGGCUUUAUUUCGAGUGGCGGACGGGUGAGUAACGCGUGGGUAACCUGCCUCAUACAGGGGGAUAACAGUUGGAAACGACUGUUAAUACCGCAUAAGACCACAGCACCGCAUGGUGCGGGGGUAAAAACUCCGGUGGUAUGAGAUGGACCCGCGUUCGAUUAGCCAGUUGGCGGGGUAACGGCCCACCAAAGCGACGAUCGAUAGCCGAUCUGAGAGGAUGACCGGCCACAUUGGGACUGAGACACGGCCCAAACUCCUACGGGAGGCAGCAGUGGGGAAUAUUGCACAAUGGGGGAAACCCUGAUGCAGCGACGCCGCGUGAGUGAAGAAGUAUUUCGGUAUGUAAAGCUCUAUCAGCAGGGAAGAAAAUGACGGUACCUGAGCAAGAAGCCCCGGCUAACUACGUG
Molecule: ribosomal RNA, 478 nt
Filed under: uncultured bacterium
Lineage: Bacteria
Description: partial 16S ribosomal RNA
Rfam family: Bacterial small subunit ribosomal RNA
Source: RNAcentral